AUGACUCCAGGACAGGCGGGACUACCAGUGAGUUUAAGCAUAUCAAUAAGUGGAGGAAAAUAAACUUACAAGGAUUAUUCUAGUAACAGUGAAAGAACCAAGAAGAGGCCAGCUUAUGAAUUGGGCACCCAUGACGUUUGAAUUGUAUUAUGGAGAAGCGCCCUCAGUGGUGAACCGGGCCCAAGUCUCUUGGAAGGGGGUUCUAGAGGGUGAGAGCGCCGUCAUGCAAGACCUUGUCGAACCAUGAUGUGGUGUCUACAAGUUAGGUUCUUUGGGAAUGCAGCCCCAAUUGGGCCGUAAAUUCUAACCAAGGCUAAAUACAUGCUAGAGACUGAUUGGAAACAAGUACUGCGAGGGAUAGAUGAAAAGGACUUUCAAAAGAGAGUCAAAGAGUGCUUGAAAUUGUCGGGAAGGAAGCAGAUGGGGGCCAGCGGCGCGUCCUGGUCGGAUGUGGAACGGUGUUGAGCCGGUCCGCCAAUGGACUCGGGACGUGGACUGACCCAUGUCAUGAUGGUGGCUCAAGCCUAGGCCUUUCUUAUGCUCCUUGAGAUUUCAUCAUCGCAGUCGUGGCUUGCAGUGCACACCUCAUGGCGAGCUUCAAGAUCUGCACACUCAAGGCGUUGUCUUGUGGUCCCCAUUCAUCCAGUCUUGAAACACCGACCAAGAAGUCUAAAAUGUGUGUGAGUCAAUGAGUGAGUAAACCUGUAAGGCAUAAGGAAGCUAACUGGAGGGGUCCCCUUGUGGGUUGCACCACCAACCGACCUUGAUCUUCAGAAAAGGGUUCGUGUGGGAGCAUUCCUGUUAGGACCCAGAAGAUGGUGAACUAUGCCUGAGCGGGGAGAAGCUAGAUGAAACAUUGGCGGAGGCCCACAUUGAUACUGACGUGUAAAUCAUUCGUCUAACUUGGGUAUAGGGGGAGAAGACUAAUCGAACCGUCUAGUUGUUGGUUCCCCCCAAAGUUUCCCUCAGGAUAGCUGGAGCCGACAUGCGAGUUCUAUCGGGUAAAGCCAAUGAGUAGAGGCAUCGGGGGCGCAACGCCCUCGACCUAUUCUCAAACUUUAAAUAGUUAGGAUGGUGCGGCUACAUUUGAGCGUGCCAUGGAAUCGAGAGCUCAAAGUGGGCCAUUUUUGGUAGGUAGAACUGGCGAUGCGAGAUGAACUAGAAGCCGGGUUAUGGUGCCCAACUACGUGCUAACCUAGAAUCCACAAAGGGUGUUGGUUGAUUAAGAUAGUAGGACGGUGGUCAUGGAAGUCAAAAUCGGCUAAGGAAUGUGUAACAACUCUCCUUCCAAAUCAAAUAGCCUGAAAAAUGGAUGGUGCUAAAGCGCACGACCUAUACCUGGCGGUCGGGGCAAGUGCCAUGCCCCGAUGAGUAGGAGGGCGUGGCAGUUGAUGAAAAACCUAGGACGUGAGUCCGGGCGGAGCGAGUCAGUGCAGAUCUUAGUGGUAGUAGCAAAUAUUCAAACGAGAACUUUGAAUGCCAAAGAAGGGAAAGGUUCUAUGUAAACGACACUUACACAUGGGUUAGUCAAUCCUAUGAAACGGGGGAAGCUCGGUCAAUCCUAUGAAACGGGGGAAGCUCGUCUGAUAGCAUGACCGCAUGAACUUCAAAAUAGAAUAAGGUUAAAAUUCCUGAACCGGGAUGUGGUGACUGAAGACAACGUUAGGGAGUCUGAAGACAUCGGCUGGGACCUCGAGAAUAGUUAUAUUUUCUGUUUAACAACCUGCCCACCUUGAAAACGGUACAACCGAAGGUAGCGUCCAGCGGUUGGAAGAGUGCCAUCCAUGCCCAGUUGUACUCAUAUAUUGAAAAGCCUCUGGUCGAUGGAACAAUGUAGGCAAGGGAAGUUGGGAAAGUAGAUCAGUAACAUCAAGAAAAAUAUUGGAUCUGAGGGCUAGGCACGAGGGGGGGUCCUAGUCCCGAACUCACAUGUUGUGAGUGGAUUGCUCGAACUGCUCCCACGGUGAGAGCGAUUCAUCACGUGCGGACUGAGGGACGGACUGGGAAUAGUCCCAUCGGCACCCCGGGUGUCAAACAAUCAACUCAGAACUGGUGCAGACAAGGUGAAUCUAACUGCUUAAUUUAAACAAAGCAUAGUGAUGGUCCCUGUGGAUAUCACUACUUUUAACGUUAUUUUACUUUUUCAAUGAAUCAGAAGCGGGGUAGUGCCCCCAUUUUUUGUCCUGAGGCUUGCUUUUGUGGCCAUUCUGGGUGGAAGACAUUGUCAGGUGGGGAGUUUAGCGGGGGUGGAACAUCUAUUAAAAUAUAAUACGUGUGUACUAAGAUGAGCUCAAUGAGAACAUAAAUCUCAUGUCAAAAAAGGGUAAACGAUCAUUUGAUUGUGAUUUCCAGUACUAAUUUGAACCAUGAAAGUGUGGCCUAUCGAUCCUUUAGAUAUUUGAAAUUUGAAGCUAAAGGUGUCAGAAAACUAGCUUGUAGCAACCAAGCGUUCAUAGUGACAUUGCUUUUUGAUACUUCAAUGUUGGCUCUUCCUAUCAUUGUGAAGCAAAAUCACCAAGGGUUGGAUUUUUCACCCACCAAUGGAGAAUGUGAGCUAGGUUUAGACCGUCGUGAGACAGGUUAGUUUUACCAUACUGAUGACAGUGUCACAAUAGUAAUUCAACCUAGUACGAGAGGAACAGUUGAUUCACACAAUUGGUCAUCGCGUUUAGUUGAAAAGCAAGUGGCGCGAAGCCACCAUGCAAUGGAUUAUGACUGAACACCUCUAAGUUAGAAUCCGUGCUAGAAGCGACGCAUGCGCCCAUCGCCUGAUUGCUGACCAGUAGUAGGAAUCUUCAGGCCCCCAAAGGUACGUGUAGUUGGUCAAGCCUUCUCGACGGAUGAGUCGAGUUGGCUGCCUUGAAGCGUAAUUUUCACCGAGCGGCUCGUAGAAUCCUUUGCAAACGAC
Molecule: ribosomal RNA, 2908 nt
Filed under: Datisca glomerata
Lineage: Eukaryota; Viridiplantae; Streptophyta; Magnoliopsida; Cucurbitales; Datiscaceae
Description: eukaryotic LSU rRNA
Rfam family: Eukaryotic large subunit ribosomal RNA
Source: RNAcentral